Molecule: ribosomal RNA, 460 nt
Filed under: uncultured bacterium
Lineage: Bacteria
Description: partial 16S ribosomal RNA
Rfam family: Bacterial small subunit ribosomal RNA
Source: RNAcentral
CCUACGGGGUGCAGCAGUGAGGAAUAUUGGUCAAUGGGCGUAAGCCUGAACCAGCCAAGUCGCGUGAGGGAUGAAGGUUCUAUGGAUCGUAAACCUCUUUUAUAAGGGAAUAAAGUGUGGGACGUGUCCUGUUUUGUAUGUACCUUAUGAAUAAGGAUCGGCUAACUCCGUGCCAGCAGCAGCGGUAAUACGGAGGAUCCGAGCGUUAUCCGGAUUUAUUGGGUUUAAAGGGUGCGUAGGCGGCCCUUUAAGUCAGCGGUGAAAGUCUGUGGCUCAACCAUAGAAUUGCCGUUGAAACUGGGAGGCUUGAGUAUGUUUGAGGCAGGCGGAAUGCGUGGUGUAGCGGUGAAAUGCUUAGGUAUCACGCAGAACCCCGAUUGCGAAGGCAGCCUGCCAAGCCAUGACUGACGCUGAUGCACGAAAGCGUGGGGAUCAAACAGGAUUAGAUACCCGAGUAGUC